GGCUGGGGCUGGAAAUGACACCGAGAGGCUUCAGCCGCGUGCGGCGGGCUCCCGCGGCGCCGCGGGCACCGGGCUGCCUUUGCCUUGCCACCAUCUUACGGGGAGACUCGCGUGUCACGUUACGGUUGGGAUGCACCGGUGCCUCUCGCGUGCCUGCAGCCGAGCUGCAAGAGAGCCAUUUUGCAGCCCUCCGAGCGUGACAAGGAGCCGCCAGACCAGCGAAGGGGGAUUUGCAGACGAAUGGAUGGAUGGAUGCGAAUUAUCUUCAUUUUCCCCUUUCACCAAAGCCUUGUUCCUCCUGCCGUGUUUCCCCUCACUCCACCCUUCCACACACCCCCACCAAAAAAAAUCACAGGGGACUUUCCCCUGACUCACGGACACAAUAUGUAACUCAAAACAUCUCUCUUGCCAUCUCUUCAUUCUAUUUGAUAAGCCAAGAGGGAAUCAACAUGUCUGGUGAAUUUUUCCUUUCCUCCCCCCUCCCUUUUUUUUUCCCUGUAUCUGCUUCUAAAAGCAGCAUCUCUAAACCUUUUGUUCUACCGUGUGUAGUCUUUCCCGGGCAAACUCAUGUACGAAGAUGAGCUGCCACCAAAAACACAGAAACGGGAAUCUCCCUACCUUGGUUUGUAGAAGCAGAACCUCUAGACGGACAGAUCAAGGGAGAGAGCAUGUUGGGAAUGUCCAGUCUCCUCUUCUUCCUUGCAUAUCCACAUAAGAAGAACAAGGGUCGAGGGGCAAACGUGGAGGAGUGAGUUUAAAAAAAUCCUAUUUGUUUGUAAAAAAAAAUAGAGAAUUCUUUGUGGCAAUCUUGCGUCCUGAAGCAGUGCAAAUUCAAAAGCAGGAGAGAAUCACUUCAGAGGAUAUUCAGCGCAUGUGGUGAGGAUCGUCAAAUGCAGGUUCCAGAGACCGGUAGAGGAGGUCUGCAUCUCAGUUAUGUUGCUCCCUUAGCGACAACAU
Molecule: long non-coding RNA, 957 nt
Organism: Rhea pennata
Lineage: Eukaryota; Metazoa; Chordata; Aves; Rheiformes; Rheidae
Exons: 3
Source: RefSeq, a predicted model, not a curated record